AGAUGGAUCAUUCAUAUAGUGUCGCUUGAACUGUGGUAUUACUGAGAAAUCGUAUUUGGUUAUGGUGUCUUAAACGAAUAGAAAGCUUACCGGUGUCAUCUGACGUGCAUGUGGUCCACUGCGGCAACUGAACGACAUGUGACUUGAAGUGUAACAACUGAACGAUGUGGUGACAGUGUAACAACUGAAUGCAAGUGGUGACAGUGCAACAACUGAAUGCAAGUGGUGACAGUGUAACAACUGAAUGCAAGUGGUGACAGUGCAACAACUGAAUGCAAGUGGUGACAGUGCAACAACUGAAUGCAAGUGGUGACAGUGCAACAACUGAAUGCAAGUGGUGACAGUGCAACAACUGAAUGCAAGUGGUGACAGUGCAACAACUGAAUGCAAGUGGUGACAGUGCAACAACUGAAUGCAAGUGGUGUCUACUAAGCGAACAGAAAGUUUAACGGUUAAGUCGUGUAAAAAUCUGUCAUAGUGCAUGUGGUCGGUCGCUCUAACUUUUAAGAGACAAGUCUAUUUACGCCUCUCAGCGAUGGAUGUCUCGGAUCUCGUAACGAUGAAGAACGCAGCUAGCUGCGAGAUGCAGUGUGACAUGCGAACUUCUGUGAAUCAUUAGAUUUUUGAACGCAAAAGGUACUUCUAAAUUCUUUUAGGAGUAUGUUCACUUCAGUGCUUUUAUAUAUUUGUUAACCUAAUGGGUGGUUAACGUGAAUAGUUGCUGUGAUUGCGGUAACUGCAAGCUAAUGAUAAUGGUUUUUAGGUGACGCUUAAAAGACCGUUAUUGUAUUAUUAAUAAGCCUGAAUUUGAGCAAGUGUACCCGCUGAACUUAAGCAUAUUAUUAAGCGGAGGAAAAGAAACUAACUAGGAUUCCCCUAGUAACUGCGAGUGAACAGGGAAGAGCUCAAACUGGAAAUCGGCAGUUUACUGUCGAAUUGUAGUCUCACGAAAUGCAGCCUGUAGAUGUUGUGAGUUAAGUCUCUUGGAAAAGAGUACCAAAGAGGGUGAAAGUCCCGUCUUUAUUCACAACUAUUUACUUUCGGUGCAUUUUCAAAGAGUCGCGUUCCUUGAGAUUGGAGCGCUAAGUGGGUGAUAAACUUCAUCUAAAGCUAAAUACUAACGAGAUUCCGAUAGCGUACAAGUACCGUGAGGGAAAGUUGAAAAGAACUUUGAAAAGAGAGUUAAAAGGAACUGAAAUUGCUGAAAGGGAAGUGGAGAGAUUCAACGGUUUAGCGAAUCUUCUGCAUGCUUGGAUAUUGCAUCCUUCAGUGUGUAGUCGAGAUUUGCGGUGACUCUGGAAGCGAUUGUACAAGCAGAUUACAUCAUUGAUAGGUUCUAUAAUUAGGGCCAUGUCUUUGAUGUCUUCAGUCUGUGUGAUCUAUGUAAUUCUAACUCAGCAUUAAUUGUCGAGUUAUACUCUUCCAGACAUGUUGAUUCUCUCCUCCCCGUCUUGAAACACGGACCAAGGAGUCUACUUUAUGUGCAAGUACAAGGGUGGAAAACCUAUGUGCGAAAUGAAAGUAAUAGUUAGGAUGGUUAUACCUGCACUAACACUCGGCCACUGAGUCGAAGUUGAGCACAUAGAAUAGGACCCGAAAGAUGGUGAACUAUGCCUGAGUAGGGUGAAGCUAGAGGAAACUCUGGUGGAAGCUCGUAGCGAUACUGACGUGCAAAUCGUUCGUCAAACUUUGGUAUAGGGGCGAAAGACCAAUCGAACCAUCUAGUAGCUGGUUCAAUC
Molecule: unclassified non-coding RNA, 1739 nt
Filed under: uncultured fungus
Lineage: Eukaryota; Fungi
Description: sequence contains 18S rRNA gene, ITS1, 5.8S rRNA gene, ITS2, 28S rRNA gene
Rfam family: Eukaryotic large subunit ribosomal RNA (bases 798-1739)
Source: RNAcentral